GAAAUGCGAAAAGCAAUGCGAAUUGCAGAAUUCCGCGAGUCAUCAGAUCUUCGAACGCAUCUGGCGCCGAUCGGAUCUCCGGUUGGCAUGUUUGUUUCAGUGUGUUGUUAAGACUCACAUAUCUUAAUGUGAUUGACUGUGAUGCCAGAGCGAAAGUUCUGUCAUUCAGUCUCUCAUGAAAGAAGCGCUGUGCGAACCGCACUGAUGCAGUAGUCAGUCCUUGCGAUUGAUACUCAUUGGUACGGGUCCGAUACUACAGUGUCAAAUCCAAUCAUCACACACGCAUCUGAGACAAGCAAGAUAACCCGCUGAACUUAA
RNAcentral lists this unclassified non-coding RNA (318 nucleotides) under uncultured Ophiostomataceae. RNAcentral's name for it is "sequence contains ITS1". The stretch from base 1 to 105 matches the Rfam family "5.8S ribosomal RNA", at positions 50 to 154 of the family's 154-position model. Lineage: Eukaryota; Fungi; Ascomycota; Sordariomycetes; Ophiostomatales. The record is from RNAcentral.